This 253-nucleotide ribosomal RNA is filed under the name uncultured bacterium. RNAcentral's name for it is "partial 16S ribosomal RNA". It matches the Rfam family "Bacterial small subunit ribosomal RNA", at positions 524 to 776 of the family's 1533-position model. The record is from RNAcentral.
GACAGAGGGUGCAAACGUUGUUCGGAAUUACUGGGCGUAAAGCGCGUGUAGGCGGCCCUGCAAGUCGGAUGUGAAAUCCCACGGCUCAACCGUGGAAGUGCAUUCGAAACUGCAGGGCUAGAGUCCUGGAGAGGAAGGUGGAAUGCUUGGUGUAGAGGUGAAAUUCGUAGAUAUCAAGCGGAACACCGGUGGCGAAGGCGGCCUUCUGGACAGUGACCGACGCUGAGACGCGAAAGCCAGGGGAGCAAACGGG